Molecule: ribosomal RNA, 406 nt
Filed under: uncultured bacterium
Lineage: Bacteria
Description: partial 16S ribosomal RNA
Rfam family: Bacterial small subunit ribosomal RNA
Source: RNAcentral
GACGAACGCUGGCGGCGUGCCUAAUACAUGCAAGUCGAACGAGUGGCGGACGGGUGAGUAACACGUGGGAACCUACCCAUCAGCGGGGGAUAACACUUGGAAACAGGUGCUAAUACCGCAUACUAUUGGAUCGGCCGAUAUCGGAUUAGCUAGUUGGUGGGGUAACGGCUCACCAAGGCGACGAUCCCUAGCUGGUCUGAGAGGAUGACCAGCCACACUGGAACGGAAACACGGUCCAGACUCCUACGGGAGGCAGCAGUGGGGAAUAUUGCACAAUGGGCGCAAGCCGGAUGCAGCCAUGCCGCGUGUGUGAAGAAGGCCUUCGGGUUGUAAAGCACUUUCAGCGGGGAGGCGUUACCCGCAGAAGAAGCACCGGCUAACUCCGUGCCAGCAGCCGCGGUAAUUC